Molecule: ribosomal RNA, 415 nt
Filed under: uncultured prokaryote
Description: bacterial SSU rRNA
Rfam family: Bacterial small subunit ribosomal RNA
Source: RNAcentral
GUGUCAGCAGCCGCGGUAAUACGGAGGGGGCUAGCGUUGUUCGGAAUUACUGGGCGUAAAGGGUGCGUAGGUGGUUUGAUAAGUUGGCUGUGAAAUACCGGGGCUUAACCUUGGGGCGUCAGCCAAGACUGUCGGGCUUGAGUAUAGGAGAGGGCAGUGGAAUUUCCGGUGUAGCGGUGAAAUGCGUAGAGAUAGGAAGGAACACCAGUGGCGAAGGCGUCUGCCUGGCCUAAUACUGACACUGAGGCACGAAAGCGUGGGUAGCAAACAGGAUUAGAUACCCUGGUAGUCCACGCUGUAAACGAUGUCAACUAGCUGUUGGGGACAUAAAGGUUCUUAGUGGCGCAGCUAACGCGAUAAGUUGACCGCCUGGGGAGUACGGUCGCAAGAUUAAAACUCAAAUGAAUUGACGGGG